RNAcentral lists this long non-coding RNA (1224 nucleotides) under Arabidopsis lyrata. RNAcentral's name for it is "long non-coding RNA (ALYR_LNC002528)". Lineage: Eukaryota; Viridiplantae; Streptophyta; Magnoliopsida; Brassicales; Brassicaceae. The record is from RNAcentral.
GUUCUCCAUAGUCAUCGGUCUUAUGCUUAGGUUAAGUCCUUAUUUGAAGCUAAGCUUAAGAGUUAAGAAUGGACCAUAGAGAGUAUGAAGAGCCUGCAUGUACAGAGAGUGACUUUUGGUGCCACUACAAUGGAGAUAAUUAAAGCGCUUCAUAAAAAUUGAGAUUCAACAAUCAGAAAUUAAAAACGAAAAACAAAACAUCAGGCGCAUGGGUUUAAAAUAGACAUACUAUGGGAUAAAAUUUAUCAUUGUCUUGGGCUUAGACUCAUAAUACCGAAAAUUUUAUUUCAUCUAGAUCUAUUGUCUCUCACCUAAUUAUCUUUUUAUAUUUCAGGAUAAUCCCUUUUAUUGUGCUUCAGCAAUGGGAAAAAUUUUCAAGAGAGGAUUUUCUUACUUAUAUAGACUUGUGGGUUCAAAUUAAGGUGAUACCUCUAUUAUAUGUAUAGGAGAGCACAGUCAGGUUUAUUGCAAAUACUCUAGGUGCUGUUGUUACUCUGGAUUUCAAUGAAGAAACUACCACACAGAUUAACUUUCUUUGAGUCAAGAUCAGACUUGAUAUUACUAAGCGACUGCGUUUCUUUAGAAGGGUGCGUUUUGAGUCUAGAGAAGUGCCAUGGUUGGCUUUUAGUAUCAAAAGCUCAAGAGAGUUUUCACUAACCGAUGUCGUAUGAAUCACCAGGCCAGUCACUGCCGGUAUUUAGCUCCUCCAGUUGUCCUGGAUGAUGAAUUAGAUGUGUUGGUGGUUCCUGUGUGGCAGGAAGGUGAAGGUUCCAACAAUAUCAAUCGACGUGAACAUGAGAAUAAUUCCCUGAGUUCUAAUAUCUCGUCGUAUACGCCAAUUUCCCAGGCUCCUUUGCCUGCUUCCCCUGUUUUGAACUAGGAUGAAUAUACUGCAGUUUACCACUCUCAGAGACUCUCAUCCUCAAAUUCCCAGUCGAUUCUGGUCGAGGACACCGAAGAUUCGUGGUGGUUCGUCUCACGGCUCGUCCGUCCAUGGUGGCUGUUACAGCUUGCGGCGAAAGUGGAGGAGCAGAAUGGUGGGUGUGUUCUACUAGUCAAGGCGAUUAACUGUGGAUGUUUUCGGAUUCUAGAGGGUUGAUCUUGUUCUGUGGCUAAUCUGGAUUUGGUUGAGCUUCAAUCCCUCUUUAGCUUUCGAGAUUUUGCAUUCGCCUAACCGGAUUAAGGUGGUUAGGUCACGGUUGAGGCUCGCUGAUGGUUGGCNNN